GCCUUCGUGGUGAAGUGGACAGCACGCUCGACGCGUAACCGAGAGGGCCAUGGUUCGAUUCCCGGCGAAGGCG
Molecule: transfer RNA, 73 nt
Filed under: Stegodyphus mimosarum
Lineage: Eukaryota; Metazoa; Arthropoda; Arachnida; Araneae; Eresidae
Rfam family: tRNA
About the family: Transfer RNA (tRNA) molecules are approximately 80 nucleotides in length. Their secondary structure includes four short double-helical elements and three loops (D, anti-codon, and T loops). Further hydrogen bonds mediate the characteristic L-shaped molecular structure. tRNAs have two regions of fundamental functional importance: the anti-codon, which is responsible for specific mRNA codon recognition, and the 3' end, to which the tRNAs corresponding amino acid is attached (by aminoacyl-tRNA synthetases). tRNAs cope with the degeneracy of the genetic code in two manners: having more than one tRNA (with a specific anti-codon) for a particular amino acid; and 'wobble' base-pairing, i.e. permitting non-standard base-pairing at the 3rd anti-codon position.
Source: Rfam by way of RNAcentral